GGUAGGGCAGUGUGGUGGGCAGCUCUAGAGAUGAGCUUGUCCCUCAGGAGGCAGGCAGGUGGGAAAAGGUGCAUUAGGGAGACAGAAUCCCUAACUAUGGGAGUGGUACACAGUUUUUCCAGCAGAGUUCACAGCAAACCCUGAACCCCCACACACCUGGGAAGUGAUACUGCCAGCAGGUGCCUUAAGACUCAAGGGGAGGGAGCUGAUAUGUGGAUCUCACAACCUAUACAGUGGUCUGCAAGUGGCUCCACUUAGCUGCUUAAUUAUAAUACCCACUGUCUGUUCCCAGCCCUCCAACUCCGGGGGACUGAGGGGAAAUGCCUCCAUGAGGCUCCUGUGGCAAAGCCAUGCUAAUAAUCUGACUUCUAACCUCAGUUAGAAACCCAAAAUGCCAAACCACCUCCUAACUCGCUGAAACCCAACCACACUCUGAGGCAGCGCCUGGGUCCAGGCUGCUCAAGAGCCUAUGCUUCCAGCCCCCAUUUUCCUCAACUCAAGAUGCCUUUUAAUACAGAACUACAUGGAAGUAGAGGAACCCUUGGGCACUGGGAAGUAGCAGGGAUCCCAGCUCUGAUCAAGUGAGAGGACAGAGCAGGGAAGACGCCAUACUCGCUGAGAUGGGUCCCAUUAUUUAUGCUUUGCUGCACAGACACUAUUAGAGGAAAAGCUUUGUAUUACUCUCCCACGUGAGCUGCUGCUGUUUACCCUGCCAAUGCCUUAGCACUGGAGAGCUUUUUGCAAUAUGCUGGGGAAAGGGGAGGGAGGGGAUGAAGUGCCAAAGAAAACACAUUUUAAAAGCUCUGGUUUUAUACAAUAGAAUGUUUUCCAGCAGAUGCCUCUUUGUUUUAAUAUAUUAAAAUCUUGCAAAACUCUUUGAGCG
RNAcentral lists this long non-coding RNA (883 nucleotides) under Mus musculus (house mouse). RNAcentral's name for it is "long non-coding RNA chr8:27122550-27123433". Lineage: Eukaryota; Metazoa; Chordata; Mammalia; Rodentia; Muridae. The record is from RNAcentral.